This 214-nucleotide small nucleolar RNA is filed under the name Neocallimastix californiae. Its description in RNAcentral is "Small nucleolar RNA U3". It matches the Rfam family "Small nucleolar RNA U3". Rfam says of the family: Small nucleolar RNAs (snoRNAs) are involved in the processing and modification of rRNA in the nucleolus. There are two main classes of snoRNAs: the box C/D class, and the box H/ACA class. The record is from Rfam by way of RNAcentral. Lineage: Eukaryota; Fungi; Neocallimastigomycota; Neocallimastigomycetes; Neocallimastigales; Neocallimastigaceae.
UCGACCGUACUUUACAGGAUCAUGUAUAUAGUACGUUUCCCGUCUUUGUUUUCCAAACAAGACACAUUUACUAAGUUGGAUGAGGAUGGAGAGCACCGGUUCAUAGCGGGAAGUGGUGAUUACAUUUGUUUUUUAAAUGGGUGUUUUCAUUUUGAAGAUCGUGCCUGUCAAAAUUCCAUUGACAUGGCAAGGACUUGGUUGCUUUCUGACAACU